RNAcentral lists this small RNA (27 nucleotides) under Bombyx mori (domestic silkworm). Its description in RNAcentral is "ovarian small RNA-24624". Lineage: Eukaryota; Metazoa; Arthropoda; Insecta; Lepidoptera; Bombycidae. The record is from RNAcentral.
UCAACGAGUAAGUGCAUUCGUUGUCAC